AAAGGGUGCGUAGGCGGCCUGUUAAGUCAGGGGUGAAAGACGGUAGCUCAACUAUCGCAGUGCCCUUGAUACUGAUGGGCUUGAAUGUACUAGAGGUAGGCGGAAUGUGACAAGUAGCGGUGAAAUGCAUAGAUAUGUCACAGAACACCAAUUGCGAAGGCAGCUUACUAUGGUAUGAUUGACGCUGAGGCACGAAAGCGUGGGGAUCAAACAGGAUUAGAUACCCUUGU
RNAcentral lists this ribosomal RNA (230 nucleotides) under uncultured bacterium. Its description in RNAcentral is "partial 16S ribosomal RNA". It matches the Rfam family "Bacterial small subunit ribosomal RNA", at positions 562 to 791 of the family's 1533-position model. The record is from RNAcentral.